This 557-nucleotide ribosomal RNA is filed under the name uncultured Bacillota bacterium. Its description in RNAcentral is "bacterial SSU rRNA". It matches the Rfam family "Bacterial small subunit ribosomal RNA", at positions 97 to 670 of the family's 1533-position model. Lineage: Bacteria; Bacillati; Bacillota. The record is from RNAcentral.
GGCGGACGGGUGAGUAACGCGUGAGCAACCUGUCCCAGUCAGGGGGAUAACGAGCCGAAAGGCUCCCUAAUACCGCAUGAGACCACAGCGCCACAUGGCGCAGGGGUCAAAGGAGAGAUCCGGACUGGGGUGGGCUCGCGUCUGAUUAGCUAGUUGGUGAGGUAAAGGCCCACCAAGGCGACGAUCAGUAGCCGACCUGAGAGGGUGAUCGGCCACAUUGGAACUGAGACACGGUCCAAACUCCUACGGGAGGCAGCAGUGGGGAAUAUUGGGCAAUGGGGGAAACCCUGACCCAGCAACGCCGCGUGAAGGAAGAAGGUCUUCGGAUCGUAGACUUCUAUCCUUGGUGAAGAUAAUGACGGUAGCCGAGAAGGAAGCCCCGGCUAACUACGUGCCAGCAGCCGCGGUAAUACGUAGGGGGCAAGCGUUGUCCGGAAUGAUUGGGCGUAAAGGGCGCGUAGGCGGCCUGGUAAGUCUGGAGUGAAAGUCCUGCUUUUAAGGUGGGAAUUGCUUUGGAUACUGCUGGGCUUGAGUGCAGGAGAGGUAAGUGGAAUUCC